UGCUUUAAUGUUUUAGUGUAAUGGAAACACAUUGAUCCAUUUCGAACUCAAUAAGUGAAACGUUAUAUAUCAUUGACAAUACUUAAAAAGAAAUUUUUCGGGAAGAUAAAUCAACAUUAAAGUU
This 124-nucleotide ribosomal RNA is filed under the name Nitzschia sp. IriIs04. Lineage: Eukaryota; Bacillariophyta; Bacillariophyceae; Bacillariales; Bacillariaceae. The record is from RNAcentral.